AUGUUGCGUUCACAUUUUAAGAAUAGAGCCUAUAGAAUAGAAACUGUCUCAGGGUUGAACCUAGUGAGGGCAUACAGGAACGGGCUGGAUAAAAACGGAUGUCAAAAGCACAUCCCAAGGCUGAGAGAUUUUUUCAGCACCUCUCCAAAUCCCCCAUCCUCACACCCCCAAACUACUGCUGCUCCCUACAAGCUAAGCUUCCCCCUUCACCUCUUGUUGUUUGCAGGUUUACCUCACACCUCCUCCCCCAAGAUGUCCUGCUACUACGUGUGCUGCUCCCCAAGCUACAGGACCGUGAGGACCACCCGCCGUACCUACAGCUCCUGCUACAGACCCCGCUAUUCCUCCUGCUACAGCUCCUGCUGCAGCCCCUGCUACAUCUCCUGCUGCAGCCCCUGCUACACCUCCUACUGCAGCCCCUGCAGCUACCGCAGCUGCUACACCCGCUACUGCUACCCCUCGUACCGCACCUACAGCUCUGGGUGCUGCUACUGCUAAACCCAACCCGACCUGGCUCAUCUCGGCGACAUGUUCAGCAGUGCUGAGCCCCUCCUGCAACAGCUGAAGUUACCAAAAAUGGGAAGCUUGGCUGCUUUCUAGGAUCUCUCAGCACUUCUAUAUUAUUUGCUCUCUUUCCUUCUUCCUGCAUUCCUCAGCUAUGAGUUCUCUCAAUAGUCUCCUGCAUUUUAGACCCCUUUGGCAGCGGUGAGAACAACUUGCAGUUCUUUUGGAGCUUCUUCCAGUUGCCUCAGCAUUGUUAAAGAACUUCUGCAGCAGGAAAAACUAACCCGGGUCAUCUGCAUUUUCACUAAGCACUUGCAGCAAGGUGCUGUAGCACUGCGUAAUGGAGAAGCAUUCUGGCUGUGCCUCCUUUGAUCUGGAUUUACAAGUACCUUAAGAACGAGCAACACAGCUUCAACAAAAAAGAAUGUUCUGUACAGCGUAGCAUGGUGACUCACCGACUCCAGCAUGCCAAAACUAUAAUCUUUCUGUAUCUGUGUCAACUUUUUUUCUUUCUGCAUUAAAAUUCUCUGUGUGAGAAAAAAAAUCCAAGUUCCAGUCCUCUUUUGUCAGUCCCUUGAUUAUGUGGAUAUGGGGAGAGCAGUGGCAUUCAGGAGGGAAUUUCUGCCCCUGAACGCAUGCAGAGCAGCUAGCCUAAGGAAAUGUGCUGUAUUCCUCACUCUAAACCUCAGAAAUUUGAGGAAUUCCACAAUUUCUCUUUUGCCUCUAUUAAAUGGAAUCUAUUCCAGAUUGAAGGUUAAUGUAUUUUAGCAUAAUGGGGCUGGGAAUGUCUUCAUUAUAGUUCUUUAAAAUAGAAGACUAUGUCCCAGACCUCUAUAGAGAAUAGAUUAAAAAUGUUCAGGCGAGUUGAGUAGGCGCAUUCCUACAAAAUAAAAUUCAGGUUUUAAACUGGAAGAGGGGAGAU
This 1426-nucleotide long non-coding RNA is filed under the name Chrysolophus pictus (golden pheasant). Its description in RNAcentral is "lncRNA (ENSCPIG00010000058.1)". The record is from RNAcentral. Lineage: Eukaryota; Metazoa; Chordata; Aves; Galliformes; Phasianidae.